Molecule: non-coding RNA, 2492 nt
Organism: Arachis ipaensis
Lineage: Eukaryota; Viridiplantae; Streptophyta; Magnoliopsida; Fabales; Fabaceae
Source: RefSeq, a predicted model, not a curated record
AAGAAGUAGACGCCCUCACUCGAGACGUCGAAGAAACAUAAACCAAGCAAUUGGAGGAAUAUUUUAAUACGACCUGGCUUCACGUGACAACAAACAACUCAAGUAAAAUGCCUAAGCAGAAGGAGAAAUAGAAGAAAGAAGAAGUAGACGCCCUCACUCGACACGUUAAGAAACAUACAUCAAGCAAUUGGAGGAAUAUUUUAAAUGAUCCGAAAUUUGCACACACCUGGCUUCACAUGACAUCCGUAAAAUGCCUAUGCAGAAGGAGAAAUAGAAAAAAGAAGAAGUACAUGCCCUCACUCGAGGCGUCGAGAAACAUAAACCAAACAAUUGGAGGAGUAUUUUAAAUGAUCCGGAGUUUGCACACUACCUGGUUUUACGUAACAAACAGCUCAAGUAAAAUGCCUAAGCAGAAGGAGACGCUCUCACUCGAGGCGUCGAGAAAGAUAAACCAAGCAAUUGGAAGAAUAUUUUAAAUGAUCCAGAAACAGCUCAAGUAAAAUGUCUAAGUAUAAGGAGAAAUAGAAGAAAGAAGUAGACGUCCUCACUCGAGGGGUCGAGAAACAUAAGCCAAGCAAUUGGAGAAAUAUUUUAAAUGAUCAGGAGUUUGCACACGACCUGGCUUCACGUGACAACAAACAGCUCAAGUUUGAUGUCAGUUCAAUUGAAAAUAUGGGCGACACUGGAUUGCCGCUAGUUCCUCUGCUGAAUGAAUCAACAAGCAUCAGAUCUUCAACUGCAUUGCCUGCUGUGCCAGCUCCUCAUAGAAACACAAGGAAGCUUGCUAGUAGAGGCCGAGGGAAAAGGCGGGGUGUUGAAGAAGCUCCUGUUGAUGACUCCGCUGAAACUGAGACCGGCGAAGGUAAGAGAAAGCCUUGUAGACCUAGGUCUUGGACAUGGGAUCACUUUACUAAAGAUGAAACUAGUAAUCCACAGUACCCUAGAGCUAAAUGUAAUUGGUGUGGGGCUAGUUAUGCUUGUGAUACACAUAAAAAUGGCACCAGUAACAUGAAAAAUCACUUGUUGUCGCAAUGCAAAAAAUUUCCAAAGGAGGCAUUAGAUCCUACCCAAAAGAUUCUUUGUUUUCAAGAUGCGAUAAAAGAUGAUAGGAAAGGGAUAGGUAGUUUACUUUCUGCUGUAUCUUUUGAUGUUGAUCGUUAUAGACAAGCGCUUGCUAGAAUGAUUAUUGUGGAUGAAUUACCUUUUUCGCAUGUUGAGGGGGAGGGUUUCGUUAUUAUAUGAGUUGUUUGCAACCCAAGUUUCCAAUUUCUGGAAGGCUCACAAUUGCUAGGGAUUGUUGGAAGCUUUAUUUGAAUGAAAAAAUUAAGUUGAAGUCUGUUUUUAAUCAACCAAAUCAAAAUGUUUGUUUGACAACUGAUUGUUGGUCAUCUGUGCAAAACUUGAACUACCUUUGCCUUACUACUCAUUACAUUGAUGUUAAUUGGAAACUGCAAAAAAGAAUCUUGAAUUUUUGUGCUAUCAAGAAAAUGAUCCAGUGCUUUCAAGCAUGGCUGAGAAAAUGAAGUCCAAGUAUGAUUAGUAUUGGGGAAAUAUAAAAAACACAAACAUGAUGAUUUUCAUUGCAGUGGUUUUUGAUCCUAGGUAUAAGCUUCAAUUAAGUGGGAUUUUGAAAAGUUGUAUGAAAAAGAAGAUGCUAAAUUCUUGACUUCAAAGGUAAAGGAGACUAUUUUCAAGGUGUUUAAUAGCUAUAGGCUGUUUGGUGGGAUUGGUAACUAUCAAAGAUCUACUCACCAAGAUCCUCCUAAAAUUGGCACACAAGAGCUUAAGGCACAUGAAACUUCUUUUGCUAUGAAAUUUGAGAAGAAAAUGCAAUUCAAUGAGAAUGUUAACAAGAAUGAGGUGGAGUUAUAUCUUAUGGAGGCCUUAGAGAAGAGUGGCAUGCAAUUUGACAUUCUAAAUUGGUGGAAAGUGAAUUCCACUAAAUAUCCAAUUUUUGGGCAAAUUGCAAGAGACGCCUUAGUCAUGCCAGUUUCCACAGUUGCUUCAGAAUCGACAUUUAGUACUAAAGGAAGGGUAUUGAAUAAUUAUAGGAGUUCUCUAACUCCAAUGACAGCUGAAGCGUUAAUUUGUACACAAAAUUGGCUCCGAAACUCUCCAAAACUUGUUCUUGAGGAACUCAUCGAGGAAUUGGAGAAGUUGGAAUUAGAAGUUGCACCCACUCUUGACCCUAAUGAAGAAGAUUCUGGUGUUGAGUCUGAUUGAGUACAUCUUGUUAUGGUUGGUUUACGUUAAGUUUAGCUGUUUUAUUCGAGAAGACACCAUAACUUGGCUAUCUUUUAAUGGAAUUUUAUUUUUAUUUUCAGUUCUGUUGACUGUUGAACUUUUAAACUUCUUUAAUUGUUGUAUUUGAAUUCCUUUUGUCGUUAAAUUUCAUUAGACCAAGACUUUGUUAGCUAUUGUGUAUUUGUGUUGGUCGAUUUCAAUGUUAUGAAUUUGUAAAAUAGUAUGGUAGUAUUUUUUUGAAUUGAUUG